RNAcentral lists this ribosomal RNA (492 nucleotides) under uncultured bacterium. RNAcentral describes it as "partial 16S ribosomal RNA". It matches the Rfam family "Bacterial small subunit ribosomal RNA", at positions 29 to 507 of the family's 1533-position model. The record is from RNAcentral.
AGUGAACGCUGGCGGUAGGCCUAACACAUGCAAGUCGAACGGCAGCACAGUAAGAGCUUGCUCUUACGGGUGGCGAGUGGCGGACGGGUGAGGAAUACAUCGGAAUCUACUUUUUCGUGGGGGAUAACGUAGGGAAACUUACGCUAAUACCGCAUACGACCUACGGGUGAAAGCAGGGGAUCUUCGGACCUUGCGCGAUUGAAUGAGCCGAUGUCGGAUUAGCUAGUUGGCGGGGUAAAGGCCCACCAAGGCGACGAUCCGUAACUGGUCCGAGAGGAUGAUCAGCCACACUGGAACUGAGACACGGUCCAGACUCCUACGGGAGGCAGCAGUGGGGAAUAUUGGACAAUGGGCGCAAGCCUGAUCCAGCCAUACCGCGUGGGUGAAGAAGGCCUUCGGGUUGUAAAGCCCUUUUGUUGGGAAAGAAAAGCAGCAGGUUAAUACCCCGCUGUUCUGACGGUACCCAAAGAAUAAGCACCGGCUAACUUCGUG